CAGUAUUUGGGGUUAAACCUUCAGAGGGCAUUUGUUGAAAAAGAUCUAUUGCUAUGUCCACUUUCAACUUUUUACAAUAACCAUUGAUGAGGAUAUUAUAGCUAAGUGUAUCAGGCAAUAUUGCCUUUCUCUUCAUGCUUUCAAACACUGCUAAUGUUUUAUCAACCUCUCCCCUCAAGCAGUAUCCAUCCAUUAGUGCAUUAUAUGUUACUACAUCAGGACAAUGGCCCCUUUGAGUCAUCAACUCUAUCACAUCCUCCGCAUCUUCAAUCAUUCCUUCUUUGCAAUACGCAUCAACCAAUAUGUUGUAAGUAAAAACAUCUCGAGAAAUGUUCCUAACAUUCAUCUCCUUGAGCAAUAGUUUGACAUCAUGCCAUCGAUUUAUGUCACACAGACCUAGAAUUAAUGAGUUGUAGGUUAUAACAUUUGGGGAUAUGCCUUUCCUUGUCAUUUGGUGGAGAAGACCCAAUGCUUGAUCAACCAAUCUAUGCUUACACAAACAGUCAAUAAGUGUGUUGUAAGUUACGGCAUCAGGCUUGCAACCUUUCUUGACCAUAUAUUUGAACAACUUAACAGCCACAGAAGGAUUCCCUCUCUUGCAGAUGCCGUCAAUGAUUGUGUUAUAGGUUACAACAUCGGGUUGAAUAAGUUUAAAUGUGAUGAGGUUCUGGAACAAAAGCUGAGCCUCAUGAGGCAUAUCUUGGGAAAUAAGGCCCCUGAUGAGAGUGUUAUAGGUAAACACAUCAGGAACAAAACCGUACUUAAUAAUUCCAGCCAGUAAUGAAAAGGCAAAUUCGACAUGAUUCAAGUGACAAAAGCAGUUAAUGAGAGUAUUAAAGGUAAUUACAUUAACAGGGAUGCUUUCUACACGCAUCUUUCUAAAAACAGAGACAGCUACUGAGUAGUGUUUCAUUUUAACAAGGGCGGCUAACAGUUGAUUGAAGUCGAUAACAUUAGGCAGAGGUUUCAUACUGAGCAUUUUAUCAAACACUUGGAGAGCAUCAUCGAGUUUAUCGAAACCAACCUUGGAUUUCUCAAGGAGUAGAUGUUGAAGUCGAGCAUGAGUUGGAUGAGAUGAAUAAGGGAAAUUAUUAGGGUUUGGUUUAGUGGAGAAGCGAGAAAGCGAAUACAAAUCAAAGCAACAAGUGAAAUUACCAGAAGAAUGUGCAAGUAGUAACUGAGAUUUCAAUGGACAGAAGGUCCUCAUCAGUCUCUUCAUCAUCAUCUUUGAAUUUCUCUCUUUCACUGUCUGCUCUUUAUCUACAAACUCUGCUCUUCUUGUAAAUUGUAAUGUUGUGUAUUUUCUGUUUCACUGCGAUUGUGUGCUUCAAUGUUAAAAUUCUCUGUAAUUUUGUAUCACCAUCCGAAUCUGAAACCGGAGAAUAAUAUAAUUAUAUAUAUAUAUAAUUUUAUAUAUUACAUGUCGUAUUAAAUUAUAUAACACAAUUAUAUAUUAUUUUAUAUACUGGAGAUUAUACAAUAUACAUAUUAUUGUAUAAUUAGAAUAUGUAUUUUUCUUAAAGUUAAAAAUUGGCUAAUAAUAAACUUUAACAAAAUUAAAUUAUUGUAUAAUUCAAAUGGUUGAUACAGUGAACUAAAAUUUUCUAGAAACAAAUAUUGUUAAUUGAUUUGAUUAAUAAAAUUUUAGUUAUUCAUUUAUAAACCAAACUGAUAUUGAUUUCGAGUGCUUGUAAUUUUUAUAAUCAUAAAUAAUCAGUAAUUAAAAAUAUUUUCCGAUUUCAGGUUCAGGUUUUAGGUUUUAGAUAUUCAAUAUAAAAAAAAAAUCAAGUUUCGUGUAUACCCGAAAUCCAAUCCGAAAUUCAUAGGAUUAGGUUCAACUAUUCAUUUUAGAUAUUUUUCGAGUUCAGAUUGAAUCUGGGAUGGAUAAAAAAUUCGGAGUUUGAAUAUGUAUUUUGUCAUACCAUUCCUCAUACUUGAUCCAAUUCAAUAGUCAUCCCUAGUCCAAACAGGUCCAAAACGAUUAUAUUUUAACCGAUUCAAAUAAAAAAUUUCAAUCCUACAUAUACCCGGAUUAAAAGUACACCUAUAAAUUUUGAUUUUCUCAAACUGACCCAAUCUAAAAUGUCCGAUUAAAAUUGGAAUAGUUAAAAAUCAAUACUAUAACUAAAAAAAACACCAAAUGAUAUACAUAUGUCAGCUUCUCCUUCAAUUGCUAACAUCAUCUUUCACUUAUUAUUUGAUUAAUUAAUUAAUUAAUUAAUUAAUUUGUUUUCUCUUUCUCAUUAAUUACAAUCUCCACUUAUUCCCUCUCAUACUCAUUUCUCACCUACUUCAUCAUUUUUCUUUAACUAAAAGUUAAAAUAAUUUUUCUUCCAUUCUCAUUUCUCAACUAUUUUUAGAUCUUAAUUUAAUUUUUUUUUAAAAUGCUUAUCGAUUAUUUUAUAUUUUUAAUUCAAAAAAAAUCAUAAUCACGAAUAUUCAAAUAUUUUAGUUAUCACUUUAAUUUUUUGUUUAAAAUUAUUUAAUUUGAAAUAUACUCCAUCCACUCUAUUAAAACUUACAUAACUUAUAAUAUAUAAAUAUAAUCAGGUUAUAUAAAGUAUGAGAAAAACAUUAUUAAAAAUUAUAUUUAAUUUAACUCUCAUAUUUAAUUUUAACACUUUUAAAAUUAUACAUAAAUAUUAACUUGUAGUCAAACUUGAAUUUAAACAUCGCAUAGGUUAUGAAUCAGACAGGAAACUCAUUCCAUAACCUUAGUUUCAGCUUGUGUUUUUACUUUUCAGUUUCGGACUUUCUUUUUUCAUUUUGUAAUAUGAAGAAAAUAAUAAUAACAUGACAGCAAUCCAAUCCAACCCACAGGUUCAUUUGCCUCCCUUUCCAGUAAUCCACAUUCUGAUACUAUUCCAGAGCAUCCAUCUUUCCGGAUUAAUAAAUACUAUAAAAGAUGGAAUAAAGUUUUUCUCAAAAGUAGGGACAAUUUGGAGAGAGAAUGUCAAUAGUACGAUUUUCCACGUGACACGAAAAUUAAACGAAAAUUUAGUGUUUGUGUUUUCAUUUUGAGUACACGGCACAAAAAAUACUAGAACACUAAGUACACGACUGACGUGUAAUGUCGGUUUUGUGUUUGCCCUUUGAGUACACGACACGAGUUACACGAAAUAAAUAUAAUUUAUAAUUAAAUAUUAAUAUUUAAUUAUAAAUAUGUAUAAUUAUAAUAAAUAAUUAAAUAUAUGUUAUUUUCUUUUAAAAUAAUGGAUAGUUUAUAAUAUUGUAAGUAUAAGUGACUCAAAUGUAUAUAUUUCAUAUAAUUUUGUAAAAUUUUUACCUAGAAAUCUAAUACUUACAUUAUUUUAUAUAUUUAUUUAUAUUUAUUAAAUAUUUCAGUUCAACUUUACACGAAACACGAUGAGAACGACCCGGAAACGGAGUUACACAACACGAAAAUACAUGAACACUGAAUGGUCGGUGGUCGGUUUUGUGUUUGGUUUCUAAGUACACGACACCGAAGUAUACUAUACGAACGGAUCGUCGGGUCUAGAAAAGAGUGCUUCGCUUUUUGACCUAUAAAUUCAGGCUCGCUUAAAAAAACUAAUACAAUGGUUAACAUGAUGCAUGGGACACCAAAAUAAGACACUCAACUUGACGUUUAUGAUAUGUUAAUGUACUGUAGUUUGGCUAUACACCUCUGUACCCAUUGCACACCUUGCUGCGUACACAGAAUAUCAAGUCUUCCAUUUGAAUUUCGGAAAGAAAAAUGUUUCAUCAGUACCAAGCACACAUCUGAAGACUUUUGAAACAGAAUAUUGCUAUAUAUACAGAAACAUUCUAAACAAUAGAAAAUCUACUAACCUGCCUCUGUCAUUGUGUCGCUCAUUGAGACAAGAUGACUAUUGGUUUCCAGUUGGUCAUGGUAUUACCAAUAUUCAUGGCUUUGUCAUUCUUUGGCAUGUAUGAGGCCAGGGCUGGCCGGCUUCUUAUGAAUGCACCGUUCCAGCUUCCCGCCAUCCCCAACUUCCCGUUCCCUCCUUCCCUGGGAUCCCAGGUAAACUUUUUCUUCAUUAUAUGUUUAAUUGGUUCCGGAGAUGAGCUUCAUAUUUACCUAUACGGUUAAUGGUGCUCUCUCGUCCUCAAACUUAUUAUUGUCAUGCACUGUAACCCUGGAAGUUAUGAUCACGGCAUUUUCUUUGGUUACUUUGUCAAUGACCUGUGAAGGGGUUCAUAACCUUAACAUUUCUUCUGAAUGUCAGUGGUACUAAUGCCAUUGCUAGGUGUAAGGUGUUGCCAACUUAGGAGGAUAAAUAUGUUAAUUUUGAACUACAUGGACAAAAUAUUAGCAUGUUAUAGACUCAGAGGACGGGAGGUGUUAUAUAUCUUCUGAUUAUAAAUCUCUGCUUAACAGCAUAAACACGUAUUAUAAUAUAAUAGUAAAGCAAGUUAUUUCAGCUUUUAUUUUACCCUCGAAAAUUAUCCUCUGGACAAUGUAGUUCUAGAUCAUUAUUUUCUAGAUGUAAAAGCUAACAGCACCACUCGCAUAUUGUCCUGCUUUACUGUUCGUGUGUAUGGUAGAACUCUCAAGUUUUGAGGGAUUCACAAAGUAGUGGAGAAUAGCAUGACAACGAGUCAACGACAUAUGUGGGUGAAAAUUCUUUACUAUUGAUAUUCAUAAUCACUAUGGGUUGCAUUCUGUUAUUGAAAGAAAGUUAUCCAGUUAGGCUACGAUGUUAAGGAUGAUUGUGAAGUCAGGGGAACACACAAAUUUACUACUCAAGAAAGUUCGAUUCAAAUUUUUUAUAAUCCACUCUAGAAAUAUUUCAAGGUGUUUUAUGAUGACUUACAAACAAAUGCAGUGGUUUAUUAUGUCGAUUGGGACUUCAACACAAAAGAUUGGCCUUCUGGGAAACCCUUUCACGCAGGUGACAUAAUCGGUAAGCCAGCAAUAAUCUGUUAAAUCAUGGAAUUUAACACCAUUGUUGCAUAUCAACAUAAAAAUCAUCUUCACUUUAACUGAUCAAAUUUUUACAUUUUUUUGAUUGGUUUUCAUUUGCAGUAUUUAACUACAAUAGAAAUCUGCAUAAUGUGGUUACAAUAAAUGAGACCAAAUAUGAAGAUUACCUGAACUGUGUUGUAUCUGACAAGGCAAACAUCCUGAGCACCGGAAAAUGGAAAUGAUGCAAUAACGCUGCAAAAUGGAGUCAACUACUUCAUUUGUGGUACAAUGGGCCACUGUACUGCUGGAAUGCAGAUAGCUAUUGUUACGACCUAAUUAACUUUAAGCUAAUAGCAGAUUAUUGUAAUCCAUGUGAUGCUAAUUGUAAUUAUAAGAACAAUAUGCUUGAUAUAAUAUCUACAUUAAGUUUACUUACUUCAAACUUUGGUCAUUGUCUACGUUAAAAUAUGUUGGUGAUAACGCAAGAAAAUGUGUUCAAUAUUAUACCAUGAGCCAACAAUUUCUUACAUUCUACUUUUUGGCAAUCAUUAUUCUUAUCUGGCAAGAACAACUUAAACAAGGGAAAAAAAACAAAAAUCGAUAAUGUACCUCUAUCGAUUAGGCUUCUUUAAAUGGAAGCCGAGAUGCAUCUUUGAAGAACCGGUAAAAACUAAAAACUUUGGGCUAAAAUGAAUAGAAAUGCUUCACUGUACUUCUUAGUUUGAAUACCUUCACAUUCGAGUAUAAUGUGGGUCAUUAUCUGGCAAGCAAUCAUUUCAGCUUCAACUCCUCCAAACAGGGCAUUAUUUCGUCAAACCUUCUCGACAAAUCCUUACAUCAGCAUUGUGUAUGUCCUGUUUUUGCAGUCGUUGAAAGUAAGUUAACAUAAAGAUAUUUGGCAUUGUAAACCUCUUCGUUUCCUGCACAACUUGUCAAGCAGGAUAUUAGACAUGAAAAUUUCAGGAAUGAAAUCACUGAAUUGCAUCAACUGAAAGGACAGUGUUUCAUUAACAAAUAAGUACUGCAAAGGCCAUUUUGCAAGAUAUUGCAUGUCAUAGUAUCUAGUAUUGAAACAAAAGGUUUUAAUAGAUAAUAGAUUUCUAAAGUUCAACUUAUUUUACACAUUUAUAUUUUCCAUUCGGACAGCUACCUUGCACCAGCAAGAAAAUUACCCUAAAGGAGCAUAUUAUGGUCAUGAGAUGGACAGCAGUAAUCAAUGCAUUGAGUAAUGAGAUGAUCAGCUGAAAAUCUGACCAAGUGACUAAGAAGACUACACAUAACUCAGGCAGUUACAGUACAACUCUUGAAAAGUCUGAUAGUCUAAUUCAUAUAUGACAGCAAGCGUGAACCAUGCAAAAAAUGAAUUUGUAAGAAUUUGGACAUCAUCAAGCACACCGGUAACUCGGUAAGAUACUGGAGAUCUGGACAAAUCGGAGAAUUGAUUUCUAAUUAUAAUUGUAACUGAUUAUUUUUUCACUUGAGGAAAAAAAAAAUACAAUGGGGUUUCAAUAGAAAUUGAGAGAAUUGAGUAAAUUAUAGUUGCAUUUGCUCAAGUUUUUUUUUACUGUGGUAACAUAAGAUAAGAGCUGCAAUUUCAUUUUUAUUAAAGACCUGGGAUGACUAGUUGAAAAGCUCUACACAACUCUUUCAGGUGUUCACCUGAAAGUGCUAGACAGGGGCCUUGGGAUCUGCUACUGCCAAUUGGCAUGGGAUGAAAAACCUACAGAGUCAGUAUCACUUGAUCUCUCCAUCCAGGUUGUUCAUUGUCAGAAUCUAACAGUAGUAACGAGAGGUUAUAGUGAAGAAGAGUAUAAUACAGAACUAUAUCCUUUGUGGAGGAAAGAAACAGACUAGUAGACACCCUUAGAAAAUUCAAAUAUCACUAAGAGACUCUCAAUUUAGACUUAGAGUCAUAAGUGAAAAGUGAAGGAGGAAUGAUAAAAACAUAUACUACAUUUCUUUCAUUUUUGUGCAGUUUUGACUUUAAAUAUCCAACCUGGCAUCUUAACAUGAGAAAGAGACUAUUAUACUGCAACUUUAGCAAAGUCGGCACUAAUUGGUUUUUGAUAGAACUGGCUACAUCUGGAGAAUGUUGGCAAAUGAAAUAAAUUAUGUACCUUAGCAAUCGCUCCCUUUGUUAUACAUAUCAAUAGCCUUUAACGCAACGGUUCUGGGCAUCUUGCGGUUUGAGCAAGUCCAGUAAGUGGUUGAUGCAUCUGCUGAGAAGUCACGAGAACGCAUCUGAUCCACAUGUACACCUGCACUGUACUUAUUAUAAGAACUACAAAUAUGUGUGUUGUGGGUAACAGCAUCUGGGGAGCAAUCAUUAUCUUCCAUUUCAGCAAAUAGAUCACUGGCUUCAUCAAACAAACCAUCAUGGCACAAUCCUCCUAUCAUCAUUCCAAAAUUUUACUAGCUAAUUAUAUUAUAUAAAAACUAUCUGGAAAAAAAAAUAUAUAUAUAUAUAAACUAACCCCAACAAUUGGUCAUUUCAGUACAUGGAAGAAAAUAUAUUAGUCGGUAGGAGAACAACUGCGAACUUUACAGCAUAUAACAUCUCACAGCAUAGUAGUUGAGCCUGUGCGCACUACAUGCCAUUAUUUUGAUUGUUACUGCCUGCAAAUUUGUUUGCAAACCUUAACAAAUGCUGGCAAAUUCGAAAAAAGUAUGUACCUGGGCACUCUCAUCCUUUGUCACACCUAUGGAAAGUACCUCACAUGCAAGGCGAGUAGAGCAGGAUCCCGUUCUUUCACUUCAAGUAAGUGUAGUAAUGCAGAUGCCGUAGAUGCAUCCGCGACAAAGCGGAGACCAAGCAUUUCAUCUAGGAGUACACCUGCUUCAUAGUACUUCCUAUUCUGUAAGCAACCGUGGAUAAGCAUGUAGUAUGUGACAUCACCAAGCUAGCAAUCAUUAGCUUCCAUUUCCCUGAAUAGUUCAUUCGCUUCAUCCAAUAACCCUCCAUGACAAUAUGCUUGGAUCAUCACUGUGUAUGUCUUGACAUUAGGUCGCAAACCUUUCGCAGGAAGGUUGUUAAAAAGAGUUCUUGCUGCUUCAAGUUGUCCUUUUUUGCUUAAUCCAUCAAUCAGAAUGGCAAAUGCAUAAAGCAGGAACUAACCCACUGCAUUCCAUCAUUUGAAGAAAGGACAGUGCUUCAAGAACCAUGGUUGUCACGUCGAUGAGUCGAGGCGAGUCGAUGGACCUCCGUCUAAUCGACUAGUCGACUAGUCGUUGACAAGUCGUAGACUAGUUGACAAAAAAAAUAUUAUUAUAAAUUAAAAAUUAUAUAUAUAUAUAGACACACACACACACACGCACACAUAUAUAUAUAUCGUGUAAAUUGGAUUUUUUAGUUCUAACACCUUCCACAAUGUUUUACAGUAUUUCAGAUUCUAAGGAAUUAAGAAUCGGAAACUUAAAGAGAAUGAUGGAAAAGCGAAAAGAGUUAACAAAUAACAAUAAAACAAAGUAAAAUAUGUAACAACUGAUAUAUAACAAUUGUGUGAUACUGUGAUGUGAUGUGGUAGUGCAGCAAGUAAGCAACAAAUAUGCGCAGAAAUAAUAUAUACAAAGUUAUGCACAACUUAUUGUGCAGAUUGCAGAAAAACAGAGCAGAAAAUAUAAUCAGAGAAAACCAAAGCAGGAUAUUUAGCAGCUCGACUAGUCGACUAGUUGGUCGUCGACUAGUCGACUAGUCGACCGAAAUAUCAACAUUCAGCUAGUCGACAAGUUGAGUCGACAUCCAUUCACCGCUUAGUCGACUAGUCGUCGACUAGUCGAGACUAGUCGACCGACAUGACAACCAUGUCAAGAACAUAAACGUUCUCGCAAAGACCAGGACUAAUUGAGGCUUUUUAGUAUUAGUAAAAGAUACCAAGCUAAUUGAGGCUUCUUGUGGAUAAAUUUGUAUAGGUAUAUAAUAUAUGUUAAUUUCUGGAGACAUGAUGGACCAAGGCUCUGACAAAAGAAAGACCAAGCCAACUAAUGCAAUUGCAAAAAAUUUAAUAUUCAACAAAAUAAUAUCAAAUUGACUCCAACCAACCGUAAUCAUAUUAUGUUGAGAGAUAUAACUAAACUAAAUACAAACAAAGAGGAAUUGCCAAAACUUAAAACAGUGGCAUUUGACAUAAUACUAAUACAGCUAGUCACCAAUAGAUACCAAUAUGAUUUAACUCCAAAUUUGUGGAAGAACCUUUAAAACUAUCUUGUACCUUAACAAACUCUCUCCUUGCUUACACUUGGGGAAAGAACUUCCUAUGCAAAGCAUGGAGAACUGGGUCCUGUUUUUCUGAUCUGAGUAGGUCCAUUGGCAUGUAGGUGGUAGAGGUAUCUGCCGAUAUACUACUUCAACUCGGUCGCAGCUGUUUAAAUAGAAAAGACAGCAAUCCUGAAUAUACUUGCAUCAAAGCUACCUCUUUUAAAUGAGCGCUCCGUCCGGAUCCAGUCCAAUCAUAAAAGCAAAUUAUAUACAGAGGAAAUAAUCAAAAAGGCACUUAAAUAUAUUUGUAAACACCAGCACACCACAUUUGCACUCAUUAAGAAAAUACUCUUUGAUUUUCUCGAUAAAUCACCAGAGCAACAUGAAGAGGAACAGAAGAACUCUCUGAAAUAGAAUUGAACAAUAUUUCAUGGGACAAGUUUCAUCCAAGAGUAGUUGUUAAAUACCAAAUUUAAUAGCACAUGAGAUUCAUGGCAUGUUAUCUCAUACAAAUCAACAGUUACAACACAUAUGUUAAGUAAUCUAAUAGAUGUAUAAUUGAUCCAUAAAUAAUUAAUGUUCAUCACUUAAAACAGAAAAAAAAUAACCAUGGCAAGAACCUCAUACACAAAGCAAGCAAAUUUUGAUCCUGUUCCCACCAUUCAAGCAAGUCCAGUAACAUGGAGGUCUUAGAAGCAUAUAUUCUGAGAAGCCGCGACCACAUAUCUCUUCUUUAAGUACAAUUGCCCCGUUGUGCAAAAACCACAGAUAAGGGUGAUGGAGGUAGCAUCAUUUGGGAAGCAAUCAUUUCUUCCAUUUCCACAUAUGGUUCAUUUGCUUUAUUGAGUAAGCCUUCUUGACAAAAUACCUGUAUCAUCAUUGUGUAUGUCUUCACAGUAGGUCGCAAAAAUAUUUUCAAGGAAGGCUGUCAAAUAUACUUCUUGCCUUUCCAAAAUUUCUCAUCUAUUAGAUAUUGGGCCAUUAACAAAGAAACCAAAGAAAAUUUUUGAACUUAACUGAGUCGAGGGACUCCAAAGAGUAGCUUAACUUAUUGUUGUAUUUCCUCGGAGUGAUGAUUACAGACAAUAAAAAAAUCGAAAAAACUGGAUGCGUAAACAACAAAGGACCAGUAGGAGAACUGCAAAUUUUACAACACUUAUAUCGAACUAAUCCUAGCAAACUCGAAAAGAUUAUGUACCUGGGCACUCUCUUCCUUUCAAACACUUAAGGAUCGGAGAGUACUUAUCACGCAAGGCAAGGAGAGGAGGAUCCGGUUCUUGCACUUCAAGUAAGUCCAGUAAUGCAGAUGCUGUAGAUGCAUCUGCUGCAAAGCUGUGGCCAAGCAUUUCAUCUAGGAAUACACCUGCUUCAUAGUACUUCUUAUUCUGUAAACAACCACGGAUAAGCAUGUUGUAUGUGACAUCAGUAGGCAAGCAAUCAUUAGCUUCCAUUUCCCUGAAUAGUUCAGUCGCUUCAUUCAAUAACCCUCCAUGAAAAUAUGCUUGGAUCAUCAAUGUGUAUGUCUUGACAUUAGGUCGCAGACCUUUCGCAGGAAGGUUGCUAAAAAGAGUUCUUGCUGCUUCAAGUUGUCCGUUUUUGCUUAAUCCAUCAAUCAGAAUGGUGUAAAUAUAUAUAUCAGGAACUAGCCCACUGCAUUCCAUCAUUUGGAAAAAGGACAGUGCUUCACGAACAUAACCAUUCUUGCAAAGACCAUCCAAUAAAAUUGCGCAAGUCACUUUAUUCAACUGAAGACCUUUGUUAAGCAUCAUCUUUUCCUUAAAAAAUUUACGUGCUUCAACAUGUCUACCCGCACGAAAAAAACCUUGCAUUAUAGUAUUGUAAGUCUCAGUAUUUGGGGUUAAACAUUCAGAGGACAUUUGUUGAAAAAGAUCUAUUGCUAUGUCCACUUUCAACUUUUUACAAUAACCAUUGAUGAGAGUAUUAUAGCUAAGUGUAUCAGGCAAUAUUGCCUUUCUCUUCAUGCUUUCGAACACUGCUAAUGUUUUAUCAACCUCUCCCCUCAAGCAGUAUCCAUCCAUUAGUGCAUUAUAUGUUACUACAUCAGGAUAAUGGCCUCUUUGAAUCAUCAACUGUAUCACAUCCUCUGCAUCUUCAAUCAUUCCUUCUUUGCAAUACGCAUCAACCAAUAUGCUGUAAGUAAAAACAUCUCGAGAAAUGUUCCUAACAUCCAUCUCCUUGAGCAAUAAUUUGACAUCAUGCCAUCGAUUAAUGUCACACAGUCCUUGAAUUAACGAGCUGUAGGUUAUAACAUUUGGGGAUAUGCCUUUCCUUGUCAUUCGGUGGAGAAGACCCAAUGCUUGAUCAACUAAUCCAUGUUUACAUAAACAGUCAAUAAUUGUGGUGUAAGUGAUCGUAUUAGGCCUGCAACCUUUCUUCUCCAUAAUUUUAAACAACUUAACAGCCACAGAAGGAUUCCCUCUCUUGCAGAUGCCGUCAAUGAUAGUUGUAUAGGUAACAACAUUGGGUUGAAUAAGUUUAAAUCUAAUGAGGUUCUGGAACAAAAGCUGAGCCUCAUGAGGCAUAUCUUGGGAAAUAAGGCCCCUGAUGAGAGUGGUAUAAGUAAACACAUCAGGGACAAAACCAUGCUUGAUGAUUCCAGCCAAUAGUGAAAAGGCAAAAUCAACACGAUUCAAGUGACAAAAGCAGUUAAUGAGAGUAUUGAAGGUAAUUACAUUAACAGGGAUGCUUUCUACACGCAUCUUUCUAAAAAGGGAGACAGCUACGGAGUACUCUUUCAUCUUAAUCACAGCGGCUAAGAGUUGAUUAAAUUUAAGAACGGGAAGCAGAGGCUUCAUAAGGAGCAUUUUAUCAAACACUUGGAGACCAUCAUCGAGUUUAUCGAAACCAACCUUGGACUUCUCAAGGAGUAGAUGUUGAAGUCGAGCAUGAGUUGGAUGAGAUGAAUAAGGGAAAUUAUUAGGGUUUGAUUUAGUGGAGAAGCGACAAAGCGAAUACAAAUCAAAGCAACUAGUGAAAUUACCAGAAGAAUGUGCAAGUAGUAACUGAGAUUUCAAUGGACACAAGGCCCUCAUCAGUCUCUUCAUCAUCAUCUUUGAAUUUCUCUACUUCACUGUCCGCUCUGUAUCUACAAACUCUGAUCUUGUUGUAAUGUUGCUUAUUUUCUGUUGCGGGUGUAUUCAUUCGAUUGACAUAAAAUAGAUUGUUUUUUGAUUUAUGAAUAUAUGGAUUUUAAUGGAGUUAUUUUUGAUUUUAUGCGGAUUUUGAUAAAAUGUAACAUAGUUUAUAUACUCUUUCUGUUUACGUAUUUUUAAGUGCUUUGACCCUAUAAAAAAAUGAUUAUUUUCAAAAAAAUUCUUUUUUGAAUAAAAAUAUAUGAUUGAUAUUAUUAUUUGGAAAAAGAAAAUUUCAAAAACAAUAAUUUUAAGCCUGCGGUCAAAAGACUUAAAAAUACGUGCAAAAAAGUCAAACGACCUGUAUUUCAAAACGGAUGGAGUAGAUUUUUGUAGAUUUAAGCACAAUACUUCAAAAUCUCAUGAAUUUUGAUGGGAUUUCAAAAAAAUUAAAAUACAUUAAAUAAUUUCAUAAAAUUCAUCAUUUUAUGAAAUCUAUUGCCAUUUGAAUAAUAUCAGAUUCUUUAGGACAUUUUUCUCGAUUAAUAAAGGUGCAGGAGUGCUCGAUGGCCAUCAGAUAAGAUUAGUUAGAGUACCUUGUAUUGCAACCAUAGAGUGGCAUAGCUGUGGUACAUCUCAUUUGGUUUACAAUUUUGCUUGGAAUUUAGAAUCUAACUAGCCCAUACUAAAAUUUCAUAUGAAUUUUCAUGAUACAUAUAAGUGUUUAUUUUAUAAUUUUUUUUCCCAUGUAUCUGGGGAAGUGAAAUUUAUGAUGCAAUGUUGAACCAGACAAUGGGGCCGUUUGGGUGAGAUUAAAAUAAGUGCUUAUUGCUUAAAAUAAAUAAGUGGAGUAGAAGUUAGAAACAAGAUAAGACUCAUAAGUGAUUAAAGUGUUUGGGAAAUAAGUAGAAGUCCUGAAACAAAAGCUAGCAUUCCUAGCUUUUUAUAAUUGCUUCUUGACUUAUUACACAAACGAUACGAAUAAGUGCUCAUAACUUAUAAUUCAGAAACUGGACUUAUAAGUCCCAAACAAACACCCACAAUGUUUGAUGUUAUUCAACUUCUAGGUCACUCCCUUCUUCUAUACUUCUACCUUUAGUUUUUCCUGAGAAUAUUCUUUUAUAAUUUAGGAUGAUAAUUAAGUCACUUAUGGAGAAUUUGAGAAAGUAGGGUUAUUUUUUUGGGACAAUAAUUUGACAAGCUUAAUAGGAAAAUACUGGACUUUCACCGGAUUGGAAAUGAAAAAAAUGGUCCCAAAUCUCAAAUAUUCUUGAAUUAAUGCCCAAAAUAACAGAGUUGGGAAAAAUAGCCCCAAAUACCAGUUAGAGACGCUGGUAAUCUAGCGUUUUCAAUUUCGUGUAGCGUUUUGCCAACACCCGGGAAUGAACGACAUUCUUGAUUUUAAAAAUCCGUUCCCAAGACAUCAAAUGAUAUAGUAGUUUGUUUUAUCGGCAAAUCCAACAGUGGCCUAAAAGUUCAAAUUUGGACCGGUUUUGGUCUAAAUCCUCCCAACAGUGGCCUAAAUCUUGGUACAAAUUUAGGCCGGUGAACAGUACUGAUGUGAAUCAAUUUAAACCCUUUUUUUGCCGAUAAUAAUAUAGAAUAAGAAAAAGUAUCGUUCUACGCCAGGAAUCAAGGGCUCACUUAACUUAUAUUUUGCAAAGAAAAAACGAUUGGAUUUUGUUUUAUCUAUUAAUUAAACUAAUUAUUAAACUAAAGCAAAUGUGUUUUUAACAAUCAAAGAAGCAUGUUGAAAAGCAUGAUGAUACACCACUAAACCCAUGACAUAGUCUGAAACUCUUAUGAUAUGUUCUGAAAGACACUUAUAGAGAACUUGCCAUGGCCCACAUUAAAACAAGCUCUGCUAUCCGCAUAACCCCAUGAACCACAUAGAAAGGCUAAAACAGAUUACACACUGAUACAAUUAAUCUCAUGGACCACAUAGAAAGAUUAAUUGACUUUACAGAUAUAUCAAUCAUAUAACUGAAUUGGAUGUCCACAUACCACAGUUAAUUCAAGAAUAUCUAUAACCAUUAACGUAUAUAUAAGCACAAUCGAGAACAUAUCUCGGAAAAUCAAAAUAUCAUUGUCAUAAAGUUUAGGGCUUCAAAACAUAGUAAAACACGUAAGAACCAUAAAAAGAAUAGAAUACGAUACAAAGUGUUGAUCCUUUCGAUUCUUCUCCGUGGCUCUUCUCAAUAGCACGUAUGUAAAACUAAAACUAAUAAUACCUAAUACAAAAGUGUUUUUAUUCUAAUAGGAAUAGACAAGGCAAUUCCGAAACUGAAUAGGUUUCCAAAGUCAAAAUUCGCAGUUGACUUUUUCUCUGUUCCUGGGCUUUUUCAGCAGGCUUUUGAUAUCUGGACCCAUCUAGAAUGAUAAAAAAUUAAAUUAUCUUCGCGUGGGCUAUUGAAUCGCCCAAAUCCGCCUUCUAGAAUUCAAGAUAUGGCCCAAACAAUAUUCCGAAUGCGGGUAGCCCAAUAGUUGCGAAUUUUCUUAUAAUAUGUCCAAAUCCUUUCCAAUUUGGAAUUUCUUGCUCCCUACAAUGAGAUAUUAAAAUAAAUUAAUAUAUGUCUAAUUAAAUGCAAAAUAUAACUAAUAUGACAAUAAUUAUCAUCUAAAAUAUAUAUAAAUAUAUACUCUAUCAAGUACCGGCCUAAAUUUAGGCCGGCACUAUUCACCGGCCUAAAUCUUUUUAAUAAUAUAAUAAUAAAAUUUUAUCUUUUGUAUAUUUAGUUAAUUAAAUGAUUUUAUGUUAAUAUAAUUAUUAAAUAUUUAUAACUAUAUAUUUAAUAUAUUUUACUUAAAUAAUCAUAUAUAUAUAUAUUAAUAAUGAAAUAUAAUAAAAUUAAAUAAUCUUAAAAUAAUUCAAGUUAACAACACAUUGAAAUGCUCGAUUUCAACAAUUUCAUGGACGACAUUGAAAAAUAAAAAAUAAAAAAUAAAAAAGCUCAUAUUGCACUUCGAGAUGUAUUAAUUGGCAUUUGUGGAAACAGUAUAUUAAUUCGGAGUAGUAUUGAAUCUUUGUAAAUUUUAUUUAGUUAAUUAAAUAAAAUGUUAAUUUUUAUUUUAUUUUCUUUGUUUAAAUGUAGUAUUUUCCUAAUUUAAUGAAUUUAUUGAGUUUAAUAUUAAUAUGAAAUCUUAUAUUAUUGUUAAAAAGAUUAGAAUAAUAAUAUAAAAAGGGAAUUGAUAAAUAAACUCCACAUUUUACUCUUUAAGCUCCAAUUUCAUAUUUUAUACCACAUUUACCCAUGAUUUCUACACAUGUUUCAUGCAUAUUAUAGGUGAUUAUGUUAUUUGGGUAAAAGAAAAAUUGAAAUGGAGUUUAAAUAGUAAAAUUUGGAGCUUAUUUAUCAAUUCCCUAUAAAAAUUAGAGGAAUAAAAUAUUGUUAUAUGAAUUUGAACUAAAAUUUAGGCCAAACUGUUAGAAUGGAAAGAUAGCUCGGUCUAAAUUUGGAUUAAGAUUUAGGACAAAAACGGGUUCCAUCUUGAAGAUGGCCUUAGAAGUUAAAACAAUGAAACUUCCCAACUUUAACCAAUGAAUUCUUUCUUUAAGGGGUCCUGAACAGAUAUCUUCAGAAGGCUCUAAUAGCAUGAACAUCAGUUACAUUGCAUCCCUAAUCUUUGCAAUUGUUUUACUUGUUGGCUAUAUGAUAUAUGGUGCAACGCUUCACAUUGUAAAGUUGAGAAUGAUUUUCACCACAUGCAGAAACUAAAAACGCGACCAGAAGCCGCUGAUGUUGCCAGAUCCCAUGUUGGAUAUACUAUCAAUUAAUUUUGUCGAACUCUAUAUAACACAAGGAUCAUCAAACUAGACUUUCUGAUGUAGUAUCCCAUUAUCAUUAUCUUUAGUAGUUAUUUAUUUUUUAUAUUUUAAGUUGUUGGAUGGAAUGAGGAGAGAGUGAAAUAAAAAAUAAAAAAUAAAUUAUGAAGAGAAAAGAAAAUAUGUGAAUAAAUAUGAGCAAAUCUAAAUUUUUUGUGAGGAAGAUCGUAAAAAAAUAUGUGGAGUGGAAUCAUCAAUAUUCCUUCUAAAAUAUGUGGGUUAGAUUUUUAGUGUAGAUAGUUGGAAUUGAAUGAUAGGAGUAUCUCCAACGGCAUUGGCUAUAAUCAGUGUUGUGAAAAGCGCAAAUCGGUUCUAGGCGGUAGGAGGACCUUCUAGCGUUUAAGCGGUAAGGCGGACGCUUAAGCGGAAUUUUAAGCGGGUCAAUAAGCGGAUUAAUUAAAUAUAAUUUAAAUAUCUAGUUAUAAUAUUAAUAUAUUUAAAAAUAAUAUUAUGUUGUCUGAAGAAUAUGCAUUUUUAAUAUUUUUGAUAAAAUAUAUUUUUUUAGUUUUAUAAUAUAAUUAUAGUUAUAUUAUUAAAAAUAAAUAUUUCAAAAUUAAUUUUUUUUAAAAAUUAGCAAGUCAACAUCAUUUUGACUGCUUAAUUACCGCUUAACGACCGCUUAAUCCGCUUAAUUGUCCACUUAAUUUUCAAAAACGCUUAAUCUCCCGCUUAGUACAAAAUCGAAGCGCUUUAGGGCCGAUUCCGCUUAGGCGGCCGCUUAAUCGGCCGCUUAAUGCGCUUUUUAUAACACUGGCUAUAAUUGUUGGCUAAAUUGGAUCGGUAAGAAAUUAGGUAAAAUUUGCUAAAUCUGUAAGACAUUUUGCUUCAAUGGUAUUGGCUAUAUUGGUUGGUUAUAAUUUAAAAAUAGUAUGUUAUUAAUAUUUUAAAUUGUUAAAAUAGAAUAUAUCAGUUCAAUAUGGUAAUAAAUGAUGUACAAUCUUGCUACAGAUUUUCUUACAGACCUGUAGAGGUUCGACAAAUUUAGCCAUCCACGGCUAAAUUUAUAGCUGAGCAUGGUUGGAGUUGAGUUUUUGGAGCUAUUGGCUAAAUUUUUUUAUUUUAAAUAUGCCAACUCACCUUUUAGCCAAGGGUUUUAGAUGGUUGGGGAUGCUCUAAGAGGAAUGAAAAUUUUCUUUUGUACAUUUUUUCUCACUCCUAAUUUCGAAUACAAAUUUCAUUCCAUUCACCCUUCAUUCCAUUUUAUCCAAAUGAACGCAGCACUAAAGUUGCCUUGCAUUCACUUAAAUAAAAUGAAAUUUAAACUCUAAAUUGAGGGUAAUUACAGAAAGUGUCUAUAAUUUUCAUUCACCAAUCAUUCCAAUCUAAAUAAUUUGAACAAGAAAACUAAUACACAUGUCAUGACGAAAAAUUAUGACAAUCUUUAACGACAAAAAACUAACAUAUGUCACUAAACUAAGCUAUAAAUCUUUUAAAAACACGAAUUACAAAACAAAUUUUAAGACAGUUAAGAAAUUUGUCUCCCAUUUACAUAAUUAAACUGGUGUUUUCUGGUAAAACAUAAAAGAAUGAAAGUAUAGAACUUAAAGGUUUACAGAAGUAAAACUAUUGAAACCUUACAACAAUGCAGGAAAUAUCAUCGUCGCUUUUUCUUGGUACGAGCCUCCUCGGCAUAUGCUUUGCAGCCACCUUUGAGUAGGGCUGUAAUUCGAGUCAAGUCGGGCGAGUUUCGAGCCGAGCCUAAUUCGAGCCAAGUUUAAUCGAGUCGAGCCGAGCCAGCUCGGUUAACUAAUCGAGCCUAAAUCUUUGCCCGAACUCGACUCGGUUAAUUUCACGAGUCGAGUCGAGCCGGCUCGUUUAGCUAAACGAGCCGGUUUUAACGAGCCGAGCGGCUGGGGGCGGAGCCGGCUCGUUUAAUUAAGCGAGCCAAAACCUUUGCCCGAACUCGGCUCGUUUAACGAGUCGAGCCGAGCCCACUUAAACGAGUUCGAGCCGGGCGAGCUCGCGAGCCGCCCGACUCGAAUUACAGCUCUACCUUUGAGUACUUCCUUAUAUUUUUUAUCGAAUCAACUACUUCCUGAUUAGACAUCACCUGUCAGUACACUAGGAAAAUACCCUUAUAUCCACAUCUUAGUUCACUAUUUUCACAUUAAUUUCCCUUUUACAGAUGAAAAAGGUUAGUGCAUUGUUCACUGUAACGUAAAUGAACUGGGUGGAAUAUGAAUUGAGUUGGCUCCCUUCCACAAAUUCUUGGCCUCCGGGCUUAAAUAGAUUUGAGUGAGGCACAUGAUCGGAACCUGAUGACUGCUGCACUUCCCUAGCUUCAUCAAAAUCGUGCUGUUGGUUUCUAAACCAGAGCCACCUUCUGUGCAAUUUCAGCACUUCAAUUAUAAAAUAUCCCCACACAUUGCUCCUCCAAAUCCAGCAAAUGCAGCAAGAAAUAUUGACAGGACCACAUGGACUCGGAGCUGCACAUCCCCACACAGAUGAUCAAUAUAUGCAUUCCAACUUGAUUACUAUAUCACCCAUUAUGUCUUCUGUGCAUAAUUCUAGCUUCAAUCUCUAAAUUACAAUUAACCUUCUUAAUACAGCUCCAUGUUAUAGACUUGUACUCACUGUUCACCCAAUCAACCUUGUCACCUACAGAUUCAAUAACCUCCUUCCUAACUGGAUCCUUAAGAGCUUCAAACUCCUGCACAUAAUCAUAAUCUUAAUCCGAAUCUUGAGAAAAUUAUAAAAAAAAAAAGUAAUAAAUUUCAGCAAAAAUCAGUUGCAACUUGUCUUGAUCAUACAACAAUAUGCAUUAUCAAGAAGCCUUUCCGAAAGAUAAUCAUGUGGUGUGAACAUGAAAUAACUUUUACUCAUGAACUGCUACAUGCUAUAGUAACAAAAUGGCUUAAUACGAACAAAACUCAGGUGACAAGAAGGUAGAAACAAGACCGAAAUGUUAGUCAGAGGUUCAGUAACUUCAGCACCAAUAGCUGUGUAAUUAAAUAAUUGUGUAUGUUAUCUUUGUGGCUGAAUAGUAUGGCAGGUAAACGUUCAAUGUUCAUCAAUCAUCCACCAGGUAUCAGCGAUUGAGGGGAACUGAGCAAAUGGCAACAAAUCAGAAAGUGUAAUCCCUAUUUAUGAGCCCAAUGUUGUUUUUUGUAAAGGCUUUGAGGACUUAUAUUCUUACAUCAUAUUUAUUUCCUAACCAUCUUCGAACUUUAUCCAGGAGUACAGGUUAUCUACAUUUCUUCCGUAGCAAACACUAUUAAACUCACUUUUUAAGUGUACUCUUUAUGUGUGGGUGGGAUUGUGGAUGGCUGAGUUGCAAUUACGAUGUGUACAAGAUUACAAGUACAGAUGAAAAUUUAAGUUUGCUAUCUUUAAUGGGAAUAAAUCCAAGUUCGAAAUUCACUUAAGGUCGCAAAUUUUAAGCUACUUUCCAUAUAAAAUUUUAAAAAAGUAAAAACUAUUUGAAUAAGCCUCAGACAAUUAACAAAUUGUCAUAUGAUGUAAAUGCAAGUAGUUUAUGUGAAUGUUAGAUUAAGAUAACCUGAUAGACAUUAAGAAGAAGAUACUCACUUUGCCCUUACAGAUAAAAUAAGGUUAACAAAUACAAUCUUGAAGAUUGAUACAUACCUUCUCAACAGUUUCAUCAUUCGAUCUUUCUAACCUCCAUGUGCGACUCUUCGAAAGACCCGGCACUAAUACCAAGCCAUCAUCAAAAACCAAAAGAAGCCAUCAUUUGUAUUAUUAUCAUUCAUUCAUCUCUAUUAGGAGACACGACCUAAAUGUCAAUUAUAAGGAAAAUAUUAUCAGGAUUUUAGUCAAAGUCAAGGACUCAAGGCUAAUAAUUUGUGAUACUCUGGGAGCUAUUAAAAUCACUACUGGUGUCAUUGUCAGCCACCCCUGCAGCUACAAUAACAAAUAGGAUUUUUACUAAGAUAGUAACAUUAGAAAGAUUGCCAAAAGUGCAGAAUUUUGGAGCACUAUGCUAUCAAUUAUCAUUGCCUAAAUGUAUGGUAACACAUCACAUAAUGCAGUGCAGUAUGUGAUUUUACGAUGACCCCCUACUAUAGUAAACUAACAAAACAUGAUAGAUUCAUAGGGCAGCAACAAUUUUCUUUGAGUUCAAAUAUAAAGAUAGACAAAAAAAUGUUUGGAUAAGCUUUGCAUAAUUAACAAAACAUUAGAUGAUGUAACAAGCAGUUGGUAUGUGUUAAAAUAAAAAUAAUAUAGGAAGAUAUACAUUUGGAAACAUAUACUUGCCUGUCAUUGAUUAGUUGCGAUUAGAGUGUGGAGAAGGUUACAAAUGAAAAUUCUAAUUUGCUACCCUUUUUUUUUUAUAGAAUUUCACAAUAUAAAAGUAUUUAUAGUCACCGAUGGUAAAUAAUUUACAAUGUUAAUUGAUACACAAUGAAAGGCUAUCCUAAUAAACAUUGCACAACUGUGAACUGGAAAAUAAAUAUAUAUAUAGGGGUGGGUUCUGGUACAAACUUACAAACUUACAAACUUUCUGCGUUCAACACAUAUAUAAUUUGAGUUCAACAUUUUUUUAACAUAUUUUGUUGAACAUCGAUUAAAAUUGUGUCGGAGAAGUACAUAAACUAAUUUUUUAAUGUAAGAACUAAGUUAAACGUAUUAUACAACUAUUAUUUAUAUUUCUAAACCCCACCCAAACCCCAGAGGUAUAGUUUAAGUAUCUUUAUAGAUAUAUUCAACAUGAUGAUAAUUAGUGUUCUACACCCGAUGUUGAACCCCAGUUACAAAUGUGUUGAAUGCGCAAUUUAUUUAUGCGUUAUUUUUAAAAAUUGUGAUGUUUUUUCAAGAAUUUUCAAUAUGAAUACUUGUAUACAAGGAUCAGAGGAUGCGAGAAUAAAAUAAAAUGUUACAAGUUCAAAAUAGAAACUUUUUAAGUGGUUACAUUUCAUAAAGGUAACACAUACAAUUUGAAAAUUGAUGCCUACCUAGAAGAUGUAAUAUGCCUCGACAAUUAAGAUCGUCCAGCAGAGCACAAUGUUGCCUUUAACAAUAUUAUCAUCUACCAAUAACUGCUACGAUUAUAUUUUGAGCAAACAUAAAAAUCAAACUAUAACACAAGCAUACAGUGAUACGUUUAUCAAGAAAACAACUUACUGAUUUUCUUAAAAAAGCUCCACUAAAUAAACAACAUAAAAAUGCAAUGGCACACCAAAACCCAGGAACCCACAUCACCUCAAAAAUUAGUGAGAUUCCAUCCUUUCUGAAUGUAAAAACAGUGCAUGUAAUUUUGGUCUAAUAACCACAAAGACCGGAUAGCCUGCCUUCCAAUAUAUGCAAAAUACAAUAUAAUACCAAUACGAGGUGAUAUGGACAGCGGAGAGAUGCAUAAUCGUAGUCAGAGAACAGGUACGCAAAAAGCUGAAGUUUAGAAUACGAGCAGGUCAUAUCUACAUGGGAUGUCAGUAUUGAAUAUGGAACAAUAUAUAACUGAGGGCAUGAUUUAAAAUAAAUUAAUGGGCAGAUGUGGCUAGUAAUUAUAUGAUGUGGCAGGCCGAGAUGAUAUAAAGUGGUUUGGUAAAGGUGUAUGUUGCAGCAUUUUAUAUAUAAUAGUCUAAUAGAUGCAUAGUCUCAGCAGAAUUUACCAUGAGACACAAUACCGUUUAUGAGAGUUCUUGCAAGUAACCACACUUGGAAAAAGAUCGCGCUUAAUAAUUCCCCAAGCUAUGAAAACCCACAGUCAACAUCAUUUAAGUGACAAAAGCAGUUGAUGAUGAUACUAAAGGUGAAUAUAUCAACAGGAACUACAAAAACACACAUCUCUCAACAAAGUACUCUUUCAUUUUAACAAGUGCAAGUAAGAUUUUAUUGAAUUCGAUAACCGGAGGCAGAGGCCUCUUCCUAAGCAUUUGACGAAACAAAGAAAGAGGUUCCUCGAACUUAACAUAAUCUAGUUUAGGCUUCAAUAAGACUUAUCUUUCAGAUUAAAUAAAUUAUUAGAUUCAUUUGUGAAAAAUGCAGGCAAAAUCGAAAAGAUUAUGUACCUGGGCACUCUCUUCCUUUCACACACCUAUGGAUCGGAGAGUACUUAUUACGCAAGGCAAGGAGAGGAGGAUCCGGUUCUUGAACUUCAAGUAAGUCCAGUAAUGCAGAUGCUGUAGAUGCAUCUGCUGCAAAGCUGUGACCAAGCAUUUCAUCUAGGAAUACACCUGCUUCAUAGUACUUCUUAUUAUGUAAACAACCACAGAUAAGCAUGUUGUAUGUGACAUCAGUAGGCAAGCAAUCAUUAGCUUCCAUUUCCCUGAAUAGUUCAGUCGCUUCAUUCAAUAACCCUCCAUGAAAAUAUGCUUGGAUCAUCAUUGUGUAUGUCUUGACAUUAGGUCGCAGACCUUUCGCAGGAAGGUUGCUAAAAAGAGUUCUUGCUGCUUCAAGUUGUCCGUUUUUGCUUAAUCCAUCAAUCAGAAUGGUGUAAAUAUAUAUAUCAGGAACUAGCCCACUGCAUUCCAUCAUUUGGAAAAAGGACAGUGCUUCACGAACAUAACCGUUCUUGCAAAGACCGUCCAAUAUAAUAGCGCAAGUCACUUUAUCCAACUGAAGACCUUUGUUCAGCAUCAUCUUUUCCUUAAAAAAUUUACGUGCUUCAACAUGUCUACCCGCACGAAAAAAACCUUGCAGUAUAGUAUUGUAAGUGUCAAUAGUUGGGGUUAAACCUUCAGAGGGCAUUUGUUGAAAAAGGUCUAUGGCUCUGUCCACUUUCAACUUUUUACAAUAACCAUUGAUGAGGAUAUUAUAGCUAAGAGUAUCAGGCAAUAUUCCCUUUCUCGUCAUGCUUUCGAACACUGCUAAUGUUUUAUCAACCUCUCCUCUCAAGCAGUAUCCAUCCAUUAGUGCAUUAUACGUUACUACAUCAGGAUAAUGGCCUCUUUGAAUCAUCAACUCUAUCACAUCCUCUGCAUCUUCAAUCAUUCCUUCUUUGCAAUACGCAUCAACCAAUAUAUUGUAAGUAAAAAGAUUUCGAGAAAUGUUCCUAACAUCCAUCUCGUUGAGCAAUAGUUUGACAUCAUGCCAUUGAUUAAUGUCACAUAGUCCUUGAAUUAAUGAGGUGUAGGUUCUAACAUUUGGAGAUAUGACUUCCCUUGUCAUUUGGUGGAGAAGACCCAAUGCUUGAUCGACUAAUCUAUGUUUACAUAAACAGUCAAUAAGUGUGUUGUAAGUCACAGUAUCAGGCUUGCAACCUCUGUUCUUCAUAUACUUAAACAAUGUAACAGCCACAGAAGGAUUCCCUCUCUUGCAGAUGCCGUUAAUAAUUGUGUUAUAGGUGAAAACAUUGGGUUUAAUAAGUUGAAAUCUGAUGAGGUUCUGGAACAAAAGCUGAGCCUCAUGAGGCAUAUCUUGGGAAAUAAGGCCCCUGAUGAGAGUGGUAUAAGUAACCACACUUGGCACAAAACCGUGCUUGAUGAUUCCAGCCAAUAGUGAAAAGGCAAAAUCGACACGAUUCAAGUGACAAAAGCAGUUAAUAAGAGUAUUAAAAGUAAUUACACAAACAGGGAUGCUUUCUACACGCAUCUUUCUAAAAAGGGAGACGGCUACAGAGUACUCUUUCAUUUUAACAAGGGCAGCUAGUAGUUGAGCGAAGUUGAUAACAGGAAGCAGAGGUUUGAUAAGGAGCAUUUUAUCAAACACUUGGAGAGCAUCAUCGAGUUUAUCGAAACCAACCUUGGACUUCUCAAGGAGUAAAUAUUGAAGACGAGCAUGAGAUGGAUUAGAGGAAUAAGGGAAUUGGGGUUUGGGUUUCAAGGGAAUAUUAGGGUUAGGUUUAGUGGAGAAGUGAGAAACUGCAAUAACAGAAACAAAGGAUGCAAGACAACAAGUAUGAGCUGAAGCUGAAGCUGAAGAAUGUCGUAAGAAUCGAGAAUUUAAAAUCACAAAUUUCUUCAUCAACAUCAUAUCUCUACUUGUCGGGGACUCAAAAAAAUUAGCUGGCUGAGCUGAGCAGAG
Molecule: long non-coding RNA, 23921 nt
Filed under: Daucus carota (carrot)
Lineage: Eukaryota; Viridiplantae; Streptophyta; Magnoliopsida; Apiales; Apiaceae
Description: long non-coding RNA (DCAR_LNC006043)
Source: RNAcentral